GACGAACGCUGGCGGCGUGCCUAAUACAUGCAAGUAGAACGCUGAAGGAGGAGCUUGCUUCUCUGAUUAGUUUUCAACCGGUUAGUAAACUCUUAGUUACCCUCCCUGUUACCGGGGAUUAACAUUUGAAACCAUAGCCUAUUCCCCCUUAUUGGUGAUUUUUCAUUACAUUUUCUUAAAAGGUGCAAUUUGCUCAAUACCCGAUUGACCUGCCGUGUAAUAGCCAGUUGGUGGGGUAACGGGCCAACAAGGCGACCAUACAUAGCCGACCUGUGAGGGUGAUCGGCCACACUGGGACUGAGACACGGCCCAGACUCCUACGGGAGGCAGCAGGAGGGAAUCUUCGGCAAUGGACGGAAGGUUGACAGAGCAAAGCCGCGGGAGUGAAGAAGGUUUUCGGAUUGUAAAGCUCCGUUGUAAGAGAAGAACGAGUGUGAGAGUGGAAAGUUCACAAUGUGACGGUAUCUUAACAGAAAGGGACGGCUAACUACGUG
Molecule: ribosomal RNA, 494 nt
Filed under: uncultured bacterium
Lineage: Bacteria
Description: partial 16S ribosomal RNA
Rfam family: Bacterial small subunit ribosomal RNA
Source: RNAcentral